Long non-coding RNA from Poecile atricapillus (Black-capped chickadee), 142 nucleotides. RefSeq lists it as uncharacterized. The transcript is spliced from 3 exons. The record is from RefSeq and is a predicted model, not a curated record. NCBI's taxonomy places the organism in Eukaryota, Metazoa, Chordata, Aves, Passeriformes, Paridae.
GGUCACCUGGACUCACCUGAGCAGCAGCACCUGUCCCUGGGGGGGUUUGGGGUGACUCAGGUGAGUUCCAGGUGAAUUUUGGGUGAUUUCAGGUGAAUUUUGGGUGAAUUUUGGGUGAAUUUUGGCAGUUUUUGGGUGUUUU